Molecule: unclassified non-coding RNA, 1081 nt
Filed under: Hevea brasiliensis (rubber tree)
Lineage: Eukaryota; Viridiplantae; Streptophyta; Magnoliopsida; Malpighiales; Euphorbiaceae
Source: RNAcentral
GCAUCAAGCAUACCAAAGUAAACCUGAAAACAGAGAUUAAAAGCCUCAUAAGGAGUUUCAUAAAACGUACUUAUUUCAUUUUCAGCACAACAAAUAUGGUGUGCCAGAGAUACUCCCUCCGUAGCCCAGUCACAAGAAAGUUGCAUUUACAUUUCAUUAGAAUUCAAAUAUAUAGGUAUCAUUUCAAUGCUUUAACCUACUAGGUGUUUGGUUGCUGUGAAGCCUACACCCAAAAAAGAGGCUCAAUUGUCAUAUGAAACUGUUUGGGCAAUACAAGCAUUUCAUUUAUAGCUAGACAACUGAGAAUUUAGAAGAGCAUUUUUACUUUUCUUUAUUUCCCCUGGCUUCCUUGGCAACUAGAAGAUCUCAUUGUGUUGUGUCCAGUUCUAAGCAAGCCAGGCAUUGAUCACAGAAAUUGACAAACCUCUUCUGUUUCAAAAUAUAGAUAUGUAUAAAGCUGAGUAUAAGCCUUUUGGUAAAUCAUAUCAUCCUCAGCAUGACCCCUUUAGUGGAAAUUGCACUCAUCAGUAAGAGGAUCUUAGUUUUUAGAUUGCAUUUAACACGCAGAAAAGGAAUGCCCACUUAACAUGUGGAAGUGUAACAAUUUUAACUACUAUCUAAUUCGAGUAUUGUUCACCGAAAUAAUAGAUUGCACAUCAAUCAACAUCUUUGUAUAAUUCCAUUAAUGCACUACAUAGAGUUAUGUUCAUGAAUAUGUAAAACUGCCUUAAUCCCAUAGUUUCCCAUGUCAUAAAAAAUAGCUUAAUAACUCAAAGUCCAUUUCAGUUUUUAAACUUCAAACAAUCACAGCAACUGUUUAGUUUUUAACACAAGGUGAACACAGGUAGCAGGAAAAAUCAAUAAAAUAUGAAAAGAAGAAAUGUAAAAUGCUUAUUGAUUAUCAUAAGGUUUGAUGUCCAAAAUAAAUUCCAUUUUGGCAAAAAUAAUAACAAAGUAUAGGCAAUCUGCCCCACCCAACUAUUAACAUCAUCAUCCUCAAUGGCAUUCUAUAAUAGAAUCACAGAUUAGUAGGUGGAAAGAUAGUACAGUAGAACUUACCGACAUAUCUCCCAAAGAUUUG